Long non-coding RNA from Engraulis encrasicolus (European anchovy), 440 nucleotides. RefSeq lists it as uncharacterized. The transcript has 3 exons. Lineage: Eukaryota; Metazoa; Chordata; Actinopteri; Clupeiformes; Engraulidae. The record is from RefSeq and is a predicted model, not a curated record.
UUGAUAUCCCCGUUCGCAGUGGACAGCCAAGCGUCAGUGCGCGCGCGUGUGUGCUUGUGCGCUUUUCCUUACGGAUUGGAGUUAACUGCAUAACGCGUGUCUGUGUGGAUGUGUGUGUUCGUGAAGAAGGGGGAAAUGUGUGGCUGCGUGAGCAUGCAAAUGAAGUGAAGUGAGCACGAAGAUAUUCGCAGCAUCACUGUAUUAUGUGUAAAAGAGCCCGCUCCGAUUGGAUCUGCCUAGCUCAACGAAUAUGGCUUUGAGGAGUGAGUGAAGAUGGGAGGGCCUUGGCUAUGGGUAUGGCUGGGCACGUGCAUCAGCAUUGGCAUCCUCUCUCCAUCUCCGCUCUCCAUCGUCUGGGCCCAGGACAAUGAAAAGUGUAAGCUGUCCCGGUCAGGGCCCCCGGCCACCAUCGUCACUAUCGAUGAAGAGAGUCCUAACGG